AGGAAGUGGGUAUGUUAAUAGCAUAUUCAUUUGACGUUAGCUGCAGAAGAAGCACCGGCAACUCCGUGCCAGCAGCCGCGGAAUACGGAGGGUGCGAGCGUUAAUCGGAAUUACUGGGCGUAAAGCGCAUGCAGGUGGUUUGUUAAGUCAGAUGUGAAAGCCCGGGGCUCAACCUCGGAAUUGCAUUUGAAACUGGCAAACUAGAGUACUGUAGAGGGGGUAGGAAGUUUCAGGUGUAGCGGUGAAAUGCGUAGAGAUCUGAAGGAAUACCGGUGGCGAAGGCGGCCCCCUCGGACAGAUACUGACACUCAGAUGCGAAAGCGUGGGGAGCAAACAGGAUUAGAUACCCUGGUAG
RNAcentral lists this ribosomal RNA (355 nucleotides) under uncultured bacterium. Its description in RNAcentral is "bacterial SSU rRNA". It matches the Rfam family "Bacterial small subunit ribosomal RNA", at positions 445 to 793 of the family's 1533-position model. The record is from RNAcentral.